Molecule: long non-coding RNA, 102 nt
Organism: Neltuma alba
Lineage: Eukaryota; Viridiplantae; Streptophyta; Magnoliopsida; Fabales; Fabaceae
Exons: 3
Source: RefSeq, a predicted model, not a curated record
AAUAUACACAACUCAAGAAUUCAUUCAAUGUGAGAGUUUAAACACUACUAAUUACCAUAUUUAUCGCUUCCAUAUGGAUAAGUUUCUUUGAUUGCAGACAGA